AGAGGACAAGAAUUUAAAGCUCAUAAAUCUGCUUGUACCUCAAUCCCGUUUUUAAUGCCGUGUUUCAACAUGAAAUGGAAGAAAGCAUAAAGAAUUGAGUGGAAAUAAAUGAUUUAGACCCUGAUGUUUUUAAAGAAAUGAUGACAUUCAUUAACACAGGGAAAGAACUAAACCUUGACAAAAUGACGGACAACUUGUUGGCAGCUGCAGACAAACAUGCACUGGGAACAGCUAAAGGUCAUGUGUGAGGAAGCUUUGUAGUAAUCUCUCAGUAGAAAAUAUUGCUGAUCCCCUUGUCCUUGCAGAUUUGCAUGUUGCAGAACAGUUGAAAGCACAAACCAUAGACAUUAUUAAUAGGUGCAGUGUACUUCGACAACUUCGCUGUAAAGAUAAGAAAAACUGGAAUGUCAACGAAGCAACCAACAUAAUGGAAACAUCAAGGUGAAAGUGCACGAUUCAGUCUCACCCUUACUUAGCAGCAGAAGCCUUCUGAGCACUAGCAUCUGCACAGUGUCCACAGUUUGGCAUUCCACACACACGGCUAAAACAGUCCUAA
This 556-nucleotide long non-coding RNA is filed under the name Homo sapiens (human). Its description in RNAcentral is "non-protein coding lnc-UGT2A3-6:1". Lineage: Eukaryota; Metazoa; Chordata; Mammalia; Primates; Hominidae. The record is from RNAcentral.